GACAGAGGGUGCAAACGUUGUUCGGAAUUACUGGGCGUAAAGCGCGUGUAGGCGGCUUGGCAAGUCGGGUGUGAAAGCCCUGGGCUCAACCUAGGAAGUGCACUCGAAACUGCUUCGCUUGAGUGCCGGAGAGGAAAGCGGAAUUCUCGGUGUAGAGGUGAAAAUUCGUAGAUAUCGAGAGGAACAUCGGUGGCGAAGGCGGCUUUCUGGACGGUAACUGACGCUGAGACGCGAAAGCGUGGGGAGCAAACAGG
Molecule: ribosomal RNA, 254 nt
Filed under: uncultured bacterium
Lineage: Bacteria
Description: partial 16S ribosomal RNA
Rfam family: Bacterial small subunit ribosomal RNA
Source: RNAcentral